GUUUCCGUAGGUGAACCUGCGGAAGGAUCAUUAU
Molecule: ribosomal RNA, 34 nt
Filed under: Paxillus involutus
Lineage: Eukaryota; Fungi; Basidiomycota; Agaricomycetes; Boletales; Paxillaceae
Also listed under: 3 other names
Description: partial 18S ribosomal RNA
Source: RNAcentral